Molecule: long non-coding RNA, 1019 nt
Filed under: Nannospalax galili (Upper Galilee mountains blind mole rat)
Lineage: Eukaryota; Metazoa; Chordata; Mammalia; Rodentia; Spalacidae
Description: lncRNA (ENSNGAG00000024440.1)
Source: RNAcentral
GUAGAUUUUUGUUCUCUUAAUUUACCUCCUCUUUUUGUCUGCCUAGGGCGAGCCCCCCCUCGGAAUACAACAGUAGAUCUUAAUAGUGGGAACAUUGAUGUGCCGCCCAACAUGACUAGCUGGGCCAGCUUUCAUAAUGGUGUAGCUGCUGGCCUGAAGAUAGCCCCUGCCUCCCAGAUCGACUCAGCUUGGAUUGUUUAUAACAAGCCUAAACAUGCCGAAUUAGCCAAUGAGUAUGCUGGCUUUCUCAUGGCCCUGGGUCUGAAUGGGCACCUUACCAAGCUGGCUACUCUUAAUAUCCAUGACUACUUGACCAAGGGCCACGAAAUGACAAGCAUUGGGUUGCUACUUGGUGUUUCGGCUGCGAAACUUGGCACCAUGGAUAUGUCAAUUACUCGGCUUCUUAGUAUUCACAUUCCUGCUCUCUUACCACCAACAUCCACAGAACUUGAUGUUCCUCACAAUGUCCAAGUGGCUGCGGUGGUUGGCAUUGGCCUUGUGUAUCAGGGCACUGCUCACAGACAUACUGCAGAAGUCCUGUUGGCUGAAAUAGGUAUUCAGUUACUAGUGUUGGAUCGUAAUAGCUGACAUUUCCCACUCCAUAUAAACCCAAAGAAAAUAAUAACAAAAUUAGAAACAUUAAGGAAAAAUAAGAGUAGCUUUUGUAAACACAGAAUGCUCUGAUAACUUAAAAAAAAAGACCCCCCCCCCAAAAAAAAAAAAACAAAAGGCAAGCCUAUUACUAAGCUCUGGUGGUCACAUGCAAGCAUGCCAUUUAUCCCACACUAAGCAAUGUCUAGCAGUUACCUAUACUUUAAAUGCAUUUGUUUUACUUCUAUAGCAGUAUAUCACAGUGUUUCUUCUGUUAGGCAAUGACACAAAAACCAGAAGUGAUUAUCUCCUAUAACUUAUGUACCUUUCAAGCCUUUAAAUUAUGUCUGCAUUAUGAUAAAAUAUAACAGAUGCAAUGUAAAUACUAUGUAAAUGGUUUUUACACUGUAUUGUGUAGGGAUAAAUGA